AUCUAAAUAGUUUAAAGUGGAAAAUGUUGGUUUGUGGUGCCAAUGAUAUAGAUUGAUAUUUUAGAUU
RNAcentral lists this transfer RNA (67 nucleotides) under Spinitermes sp. A TB-2017. RNAcentral's name for it is "tRNA-His". It matches the Rfam family "tRNA". Rfam says of the family: Transfer RNA (tRNA) molecules are approximately 80 nucleotides in length. Their secondary structure includes four short double-helical elements and three loops (D, anti-codon, and T loops). Further hydrogen bonds mediate the characteristic L-shaped molecular structure. tRNAs have two regions of fundamental functional importance: the anti-codon, which is responsible for specific mRNA codon recognition, and the 3' end, to which the tRNAs corresponding amino acid is attached (by aminoacyl-tRNA synthetases). tRNAs cope with the degeneracy of the genetic code in two manners: having more than one tRNA (with a specific anti-codon) for a particular amino acid; and 'wobble' base-pairing, i.e. permitting non-standard base-pairing at the 3rd anti-codon position. The record is from RNAcentral. Lineage: Eukaryota; Metazoa; Arthropoda; Insecta; Blattodea; Termitidae.